UGGUAGUNCACGCCCUAAACGAUGUCUACUAGUUGUCGGGGAUUAAUUUCCUUGGUAACGCAGCUAACGCGUGAAGUAGACCGCCUGGGGAGUACGGUCGCAAGAUUAAAACUCAAAGGAAUUGACGGGGACCCGCACAAGCGGUGGAUGAUGUGGAUUAAUUCGAUGCAACGCGAAAAACCUUACCUACGCUUGACAUGUCCGGAACCCUGAAGAGAUUUGGGGGUGCUCGAAAGAGAGCCGGAACACAGGUGCUGCAUGGCUGUCGUCAGCUCGUGUCGUGAGAUGNNNNNNNNNNNNNNGCAACGAGCGCAACCCUUAUCAUUAGUUGCUACGCAAGGGCACUCUAAUGAGACUGCCGGUGACAAACCGGAGGAAGGUGGGGAUGACGUCAAGUCCUCAUGGCCCUUAUGUGUAGGGCUUCACACGUCAUACAAUGGUCGGUACAGAGGGUUGCGAAGCCGCGAGGUGGAGCCAAUCCCAAAAAACCGAUCGUAGUCCGGAUUGCAGUCUGCAACUCGACUGCAUGAAGUCGGAAUCGCUAGUAAUCGCGGAUCAGCAUGCCGCGGUGAAUACGUUCCCGGGUCU
Molecule: ribosomal RNA, 588 nt
Filed under: uncultured bacterium
Lineage: Bacteria
Description: partial 16S ribosomal RNA
Rfam family: Bacterial small subunit ribosomal RNA
Source: RNAcentral